AUGCCUUUCUGUUAAACCAUUUGUCGGCUGGUGAAUGCACUGGACCCUGGUACUGCCAAGAGUCCCCAGAACUGAAUAUGCACCAAAUUCUGCCGUGUAGUAAAUCCUUCUUAACUGACUUUCCCUUCUGGCCUUCAAAACGCACCUCCCAAGCCCAGAAUUCUAUCAACAUUGACCGAUUGUGGUUUCUGCUUGUAGCUAUUGUGCUUCUCCAUGCCUUUAGAUAGCUCUGUGCAAACAGCCUUUAUUAGCUUUGCCACAGAGUAUCUUUUGUGGGCUGCCCCAUACAUUUCUCCAGAUAAACAUGUGGGCUCAUACAAAACAAUUUAAUACAUUAACUGGCACCACCCAAAUAAAGACACUGCCACAAGCACGUACAAUCUAAAGUGACACACUUAAAUCAUCCUUAUAGGCAGAAAUGCGGCACCGUGGGUCCGAGGAGGCAGCCACAUUGGGACAAACAAGAAGUGUUUAAUGAUCUUAAGCCAAGGCCCGUAUGAUAUACAAUUAUAGAAGUUUUCAAUGUAUUCCAUCCCUUAACCCCAAUACUCCUGAGUCUUAAAGGAUGCAUAACUGUGAGGUAAGGGGGAGAGAUGGUGUCUUCUACAGAUCCGGUUGGUGGCAAAACGCUCCUCUGGCUGCCCUCUGGAGAGCCUUCUCUCCUGUUUCUGUCGACAAAUCACAAUACCAGUUCCUCUUUCCCUGGCAGGCCCACACCUGGAUGGAUUUGGACUGGCCAUUGUGCUUCUUGGAUUGACAAAAGCUACAAGGAAGAAACUCUAGAGAAAUCUGAGGGAGAGAAGUAAUCCCAGAAACAUCUGAGAUGCAAGAGGAGUGGUGAGCAGAGAAAAAAAGUGUUCCAGUGACCACCUAAUUCAGAUGAAAACUUCAUGAAGCUGAGGCAAAAUCGCUCUUACUUUGAAGCACUUUGUUCAAUGACAUGUCCUUGAUUUAUCAUUAAGUGCUAGCUCUGUAAACGCAUAUGAUGAGUGCAUCUCAAAUGCAAUUCCAAUAUCCAAUUCCAGGUUCUCAGUGUCUAGGACACCCAACAGACCCCACAAGAUAUUACCUAGCUCUGGCUUGUGCUCUGGGAACAUGCUACUUCAAAAUGUUGCAUGCUCAUCUCUCAAACUGUGAGAUCCUUAAGAGCAAUGACUAUGAAGUAUCUAACAGUGACUAAUAGCCUAAUGUUUGAUGGGCAUUUAUUAACAUUGAAUCAAUUAAUUAAAGAGUAAAUAAGAAAUGAAAUAAUAUACUUCAAAUCCCUCCUGUAUGAUGAUGCUAUUGCUACCAUACCAAUAAGGCCAAUUUUCUCCUUUGUAAUAAUUAUUUCUUUGCCCUUUCCCUAACUGCAGGUCCCUUUCUUCAUUUCCUUCUCAAAAGGAACUUUCCGUUUUCUGCUAUGAGCCAACAUAAUAGGGAAUUGCAAGGCUUGUAGAUGUUGCUGGUUUCAUAUAUCAAAGUCAUAAGCUACUAAUUGGCAUGGUCCAAUAGAUUAUUGGAUAUUUAUUGGGGACAAAGAGAUGAAUCCCAAUCUGUAAGCAAAACUAUUAUUGUUCUUGACAGAUUAUCUGGGAUCUGAACAUUUAAAAGUUGAAUACCAUUUCAAAGUUGAGGAGGCUAGCCCAGAACUCAGGAAAAGAAUUAGAAGAGUAGGAAGGAAGUAUGAUACCAACUAGUGCUAAAAUAGACAGGUGCUUCUGAAUGUAUCUAUAGAGGCAGUUUGUACCUCCUCAUCCUAAAGCACUUAAAGGAGCUCUGGAUUAUUGAUGUUUACUUAGCAACGAUACUCCUUUGCAUGCACCCAUCUCAGUGACUUCUCACUUUCCCCCCUUUUCCCUUUUAGAACUGCCUUUCAUAUUCAGUUAUUAAUCACAUUUCAAAUAUCAGCAAAUGUACUGUUUGUUCUGAAAUCUGAGUCCUACUCUAGAUGGUCCAUUUGCUGCAGAGAGUUAGGUGUCACUGACCACAGACUAAGGAGAAUAGCUAAGGCAGAGUAUUUUAAAUGCACAAAUCCUUCAUUGUUGAGUCCCACUGCUAGGAAUUUAACCUAAGGAAGUACUCAGGAAUGUGCUCAUACUGAUCCUUCAUUAUUUAUAAUGUCAAAAAACUGGAAAUAAUCUUAAAGUUAUACAUUAGAGAUUGGUUAAGUGAAUAAUGAUAUAUAAUCCAUACAAUCGACUACCUUCAACUAAAAAUCAAGUUGUAAUGGAAUAUUAGUAUUAUUAUUACUACCAUGAAAAUCUGAUUAUCAUAUGGUCUUUUAAAUAUGCAAAUAAAAAUACCCAGAAGGAUAAAAGUAAAAUGUUAACAGUGGUCAUCUUUGGGAGGUAAGGUUAGAGUCAACUUUAUAACUUUGUAAUUUUUCACCAUUUUCCUAGGUUUAUGAUUUGAAAACAUAUUAUUUUUGUGACUAAAAUAUUAAUAAAAAACAGAACAGGCAAAAGAGGAGAUAAAAUUUAUUGGGAACUCGAGAGCAGUGAAAUUUUUUCCUUGCCCUCAAAAAUAGUCUUUGCAAUAGGUUUAUUUAUUUUACGUUUAGUGACUCAUUUCUUUGUCCUUAUUAUCUUGGAUAUCUUUCAAUAUGUAUAUUGAAAACAUACCUAAAAGACAAAACAUUCAUUUCACUAAGAAUUUAUACACAUAAGAAGCCAAUGCUUUUUCAUAUCAUGUUUUCCUUUUUAAUUAAUCAAUUCGUGAAUUAUAGUCUCUUCCGCUUAUCUUACAAGACAUGUAUAUUAAGAGAGAACAUUUCUACAGGGAACAUGAAAGCAAAGUAGAGAUUGGGUGGACAGGAGCAAUAGAAUCAUACAUGUCAAAGUUUUUGUCCUAUUUCCUUUUUUUUCAUUUUUUAAAGUUUUAUUGAGGUAUAGUUGGUUUGCAACGUUGUAAUAAUUUCUGCUAUACAACGAAGUGAUUCAGUUGUACAUAUACACAUAUUCAUUAUUUUUCAGGUUCUUUUCCAGUAUAGGUUGUCAUAGAGUAUUGGGUAGAGCUCCCUGUGUUAUACAGCAGAUCCCUGUUGACCAUCCAUUCUGUAUACAAUAGGAGGCUUUUUUUUUUUUUAGGGCCACACCUCCAGCACAUGGAGGUUCCCAGGCUAGGGGUCAAAUCAGAGCUACAGCCACCAGCCUACACCACAGCCACAGCAAUGCAGGAUCCAAGUUGCAUUUGCAACCUACACCACAGCCCAUGGCAAGCCAGAUCCCUAACCUACUGAGUGAGGCCAGGGAUUGAACCUGCAACCUCAUGGUCAUUCAUUUCUGCUGUACCAAAAUGGGAACUCUAGCAGCCCAAUGUUUUUUAAACUAUGUCUUUUGAAAUAAAUUUAUUGGCUCUGAGCUUGAAUACAAAAUAAAGUAGGAGUUCCCGUCAUGGCUCAGUGGUUAACGAAUCUGACUAGGAACCAUGAGGUUGCAGGUUCGAUCCCUGGCCUUGCUCAGUGGGUAACGAUCCGGUGUUGCUGUGAGCUGUGGUGUAGGUUGCAG
Molecule: long non-coding RNA, 3488 nt
Filed under: Sus scrofa (pig)
Lineage: Eukaryota; Metazoa; Chordata; Mammalia; Artiodactyla; Suidae
Description: lncRNA (ENSSSCG00060043948.1)
Source: RNAcentral